This 1720-nucleotide ribosomal RNA is filed under the name Escherichia coli O26:H11. RNAcentral's name for it is "bacterial LSU rRNA". It matches the Rfam family "Bacterial large subunit ribosomal RNA", at positions 1091 to 2795 of the family's 2925-position model. The record is from RNAcentral. Lineage: Bacteria; Pseudomonadati; Pseudomonadota; Gammaproteobacteria; Enterobacterales; Enterobacteriaceae.
AGCCAGGAUGUUGGCUUAGAAGCAGCCAUCAUUUAAAGAAAGCGUAAUAGCUCACUGGUCGAGUCGGCCUGCGCGGAAGAUGUAACGGGGCUAAACCAUGCACCGAAGCUGCGGCAGCGACGCUUAUGCGUUGUUGGGUAGGGGAGCGUUCUGUAAGCCUGCGAAGGUGUGCUGUGAGGCAUGCUGGAGGUAUCAGAAGUGCGAAUGCUGACAUAAGUAACGAUAAAGCGGGUGAAAAGCCCGCUCGCCGGAAGACCAAGGGUUCCUGUCCAACGUUAAUCGGGGCAGGGUGAGUCGACCCCUAAGGCGAGGCCGAAAGGCGUAGUCGAUGGGAAACAGGUUAAUAUUCCUGUACUUGGUGUUACUGCGAAGGGGGGACGGAGAAGGCUAUGUUGGCCGGGCGACGGUUGUCCCGGUUUAAGCGUGUAGGCUGGUUUUCCAGGCAAAUCCGGAAAAUCAAGGCUGAGGCGUGAUGACGAGGCACUACGGUGCUGAAGCAACAAAUGCCCUGCUUCCAGGAAAAGCCUCUAAGCAUCAGGUAACAUCAAAUCGUACCCCAAACCGACACAGGUGGUCAGGUAGAGAAUACCAAGGCGCUUGAGAGAACUCGGGUGAAGGAACUAGGCAAAAUGGUGCCGUAACUUCGGGAGAAGGCACGCUGAUAUGUAGGUGAAGUCCCUCGCGGAUGGAGCUGAAAUCAGUCGAAGAUACCAGCUGGCUGCAACUGUUUAUUAAAAACACAGCACUGUGCAAACACGAAAGUGGACGUAUACGGUGUGACGCCUGCCCGGUGCCGGAAGGUUAAUUGAUGGGGUUAGCGCAAGCGAAGCUCUUGAUCGAAGCCCCGGUAAACGGCGGCCGUAACUAUAACGGUCCUAAGGUAGCGAAAUUCCUUGUCGGGUAAGUUCCGACCUGCACGAAUGGCGUAAUGAUGGCCAGGCUGUCUCCACCCGAGACUCAGUGAAAUUGAACUCGCUGUGAAGAUGCAGUGUACCCGCGGCAAGACGGAAAGACCCCGUGAACCUUUACUAUAGCUUGACACUGAACAUUGAGCCUUGAUGUGUAGGAUAGGUGGGAGGCUUUGAAGUGUGGACGCCAGUCUGCAUGGAGCCGACCUUGAAAUACCACCCUUUAAUGUUUGAUGUUCUAACGUUGACCCGUAAUCCGGGUUGCGGACAGUGUCUGGUGGGUAGUUUGACUGGGGCGGUCUCCUCCUAAAGAGUAACGGAGGAGCACGAAGGUUGGCUAAUCCUGGUCGGACAUCAGGAGGUUAGUGCAAUGGCAUAAGCCAGCUUGACUGCGAGCGUGACGGCGCGAGCAGGUGCGAAAGCAGGUCAUAGUGAUCCGGUGGUUCUGAAUGGAAGGGCCAUCGCUCAACGGAUAAAAGGUACUCCGGGGAUAACAGGCUGAUACCGCCCAAGAGUUCAUAUCGACGGCGGUGUUUGGCACCUCGAUGUCGGCUCAUCACAUCCUGGGGCUGAAGUAGGUCCCAAGGGUAUGGCUGUUCGCCAUUUAAAGUGGUACGCGAGCUGGGUUUAGAACGUCGUGAGACAGUUCGGUCCCUAUCUGCCGUGGGCGCUGGAGAACUGAGGGGGGCUGCUCCUAGUACGAGAGGACCGGAGUGGACGCAUCACUGGUGUUCGGGUUGUCAUGCCAAUGGCACUGCCCGGUAGCUAAAUGCGGAAGAGAUAAGUGCUGAAAGCAUCUAAGCACGAAACUU